GACGAACGCUGGCGGCGUGCCUAAUACAUGCAAGUCGAGCGCGGGAAGCUUGCGGAAUCCUUCGGGAGGAAGUGAGCGGACCGAGCGGCGGACGGGUGAGUAACACGUGGGCAACCUGCCCGUAAGACGGGGAUAACCCCGGGAAACCGGGGCUAAUACCGGAUAGGUGACCUUUCUGCAUGGAGGGGUCAUGAAAGGCGGCGGAAGCCGUCGCUUACGGAGGGGCCCGCGGCGCAUUAGCUAGUUGGUGAGGGAAGGGCUCACCAAGGCGACGAUGCGUAGCCGGCCUGAGAGGGUGAACGGCCACACUGGGACUGAGACACGGCCCAGACUCCUACGGGAGGCAGCAGUAGGGAAUCUUCCGCAAUGGACGGAAGUCUGACGGAGCAACGCCGCGUGAGUGAGGAAGGCCUUCGGGUCGUAAAGCUCUGUUGUUCGUGAAGAAGGGGUUGGCCAGGAAAUGGGCCGACAUUGACGGUAGCGAACCAGAAAGCCCCGGCUAACUACGUGCCAGCAGCCGCGGUAACACGUAGGGGGCAAGCGUUGUCCGGAAUGAUUGGGCGUAAAGGGCGCGCAGGCGGCCUCUUAAGUCUGAUGUGAAAGCCCCCGGCUCAACCGUGGAGGGACAUUGGAAACUGGGGGGCUUGAGUGCAGGAGAGGGGAGUGGAAUUUCCCGUGUAGCGGUGAAAUGGGUAGAGAUGUGGAGGAACCCCCGUGGCGAAGGCGGCUUUUUGGCCUGUGACUGACGGUGAGGCGCGAAAGCGUGGGGAGCGAACCGGAUUAGAUUCCCUGGUA
This 795-nucleotide ribosomal RNA is filed under the name uncultured organism. Its description in RNAcentral is "SSU rRNA". It matches the Rfam family "Bacterial small subunit ribosomal RNA", at positions 28 to 792 of the family's 1533-position model. The record is from RNAcentral.